UACAGAGGGUGCGAGCGUUAAUCGGAACUACUGGGCGUAAAGCGUGCGUAGACGGUUAUUUAAGUCGGGUGUGAAAGCCCCGGGCUCAACCUGGGAAUUGCAUUCGAGACUGAAUAGCUAGGGUACGGUAGAGGGAAGCGGAAUUUCCGGUGUAGCGGUGAAAUGCGUAGAUAUCGGAAGGAACAUCAGUGGCGAAAGCGGCUUCCUGGACCAGUACCGACGUUCAGGCACGAAAGCGUGGGGAGCAAACAGG
This 253-nucleotide ribosomal RNA is filed under the name uncultured bacterium. RNAcentral describes it as "partial 16S ribosomal RNA". It matches the Rfam family "Bacterial small subunit ribosomal RNA", at positions 524 to 776 of the family's 1533-position model. The record is from RNAcentral.